CAGCAGCCGCGGGAAUACGAAGGGUGCAAGCGUUACUCGGAAUUACUGGGCGUAAAGCGUGUGUAGGUGGUUGUUUAAGUCUGUCGUGAAAGCCCUGGGCUCAACCUGGGAAUUGCGAUGGAUACUGGGCGACUAGAGUGCGGUAGAGGAUAGGGGAAUUUCCGGUGUAGCAGUGAAAUGCGUAGAGAUCGGAAGGAACAUCUGUGGCGAAGGCGACUAUCUGGGCCAACACUGACACUGAGACACGAAAGCGUGGGGAGCAAACAGGAUUAGAUACCCCAGUAGUCCCUGUCUCUUAUAC
This 301-nucleotide ribosomal RNA is filed under the name uncultured bacterium. RNAcentral describes it as "partial 16S ribosomal RNA". It matches the Rfam family "Bacterial small subunit ribosomal RNA", at positions 509 to 807 of the family's 1533-position model. The record is from RNAcentral.